UAUGGAAACUUACUAAGUGAUAACUUUCAAAUUCAGAGAAACCCUGGAAUUAAUAAAAAUGGGCAAUCCUGAGCCAAAUCACGUUUUCCGAAAACAAACAAAGGUUCAGAAAGCGAAAAUAAAAAAGGAUAGGUGCAGAGACUCGAUGGAAGCUGUUCUAACGAAUGGAGUUGGUUGUCUUACGUUAGUGGAGGAAUCAUUCUAUCGAAACUUCAGAAAAGAUGAAGGAUAAACCUGUAUACAUAAUACAGAAGAAUUGCUGUGAAUCGAUUCCAUAUUGAAGAAAGAAUCGAAUAUUCAUUGAUCAAACCUUCACCAUUCACUCCAUAAUCUGAUAGAUCUUUUGAAGAACUGAUUAAUCGGACGAGAAUAAAGAUAGAGUCCCGUUCUACAUGUCAAUACCGGCAACAAUGAAAUUUAUAGUAAGAGGAAAAUCCGUCGAUUUCAAAAAUCGUGAGGGUUCAAGUCCCUCUAUCCCCAAAAAGAGC
RNAcentral lists this non-coding RNA (488 nucleotides) under Gazania krebsiana. RNAcentral describes it as "partial tRNA-Leu". The stretch from base 1 to 405 matches the Rfam family "Group I catalytic intron", at positions 27 to 253 of the family's 253-position model. Rfam says of the family: Group I catalytic introns are large self-splicing ribozymes. They catalyse their own excision from mRNA, tRNA and rRNA precursors in a wide range of organisms. Lineage: Eukaryota; Viridiplantae; Streptophyta; Magnoliopsida; Asterales; Asteraceae. The record is from RNAcentral.